UACGGAGGGUGCGAGCGUUGUCCGGAAUCAUUGGGCGUAAAGGGCGCGUAGGUGGCCCGGUCAGUCUUUGGUGAAAGCGCGGGGCUCAACCCUGCGUCGGCCAGGGAUACUGCCGCGGCUCGAGCACUGUAGAGGCAGGCGGAAUUCCGGGUGUAGCGGUGGAAUGCGUAGAGAUCCGGAAGAACACCGGUGGCGAAGGCGGUUCUCUGGGCCUGACCUGACGCUGAGGAGCGAAAGCGUGGGGAGCGAACAGG
This 254-nucleotide ribosomal RNA is filed under the name uncultured bacterium. RNAcentral's name for it is "partial 16S ribosomal RNA". It matches the Rfam family "Bacterial small subunit ribosomal RNA", at positions 524 to 776 of the family's 1533-position model. The record is from RNAcentral.